Molecule: ribosomal RNA, 301 nt
Filed under: uncultured bacterium
Lineage: Bacteria
Description: partial 16S ribosomal RNA
Rfam family: Bacterial small subunit ribosomal RNA
Source: RNAcentral
CAGCCGCCACGGGAAUACAGAGGGUGCGAGCGUUAAUCGGAUUUACUGGGCGUAAAGCGUGCGUAGGCGGCUUCUUAAGUCGGAUGUGAAAUCCCUGAGCUUAACUUAGGAAUUGCAUUCGAUACUGGGAAGCUAGAGUAUGGGAGAGGAUGGUAGAAUUCCAGGUGUAGCGGUGAAAUGCGUAGAGAUCUGGAGGAAUACCGAUGGCGAAGGCAGCCAUCUGGCCUAAUACUGACGCUGAGGUACGAAAGCAUGGGGAGCAAACAGGAUUAGAUACCCGCGUAGUCCCUGUCUCUUAUAC